Molecule: non-coding RNA, 4412 nt
Organism: Manis javanica (Malayan pangolin)
Lineage: Eukaryota; Metazoa; Chordata; Mammalia; Pholidota; Manidae
Source: RefSeq, a predicted model, not a curated record
UGCUGUUUCAGAAAAGGAGUAGAGGAGAUGGGCCCUUUCUGAGGAGGAUCCACUCAAUUAAAUCUGACAUCCUAUCAAUCCAUGCAAAAACUCUUGGGUACCACUCUGUGCCAGCCACUGUGGAAGGAAUCAGGGUUCACUUAGGUGAACAAGGCUCCUGAUGUCAUGAAGCUGACAGACUAUGUGGGGGACAGCCAUUAAACAGACAUAAACCAGAUAAUUUACCCUGUGUCACAGACAGAUGAGCAAGACCCUGUUUCUGCCUGCCAGUAAGUGCGCAGAAGACAGAAAAAGCCUGUUCCCAGACUGGCUGUUGUUUCCUGAUGUCCUCAUUGCCUGGGGCAAUGCGGGGGCUGUCCAUCCAUGAGGAGGCUGGCUGGCCUAGAGUCCAAAAGGACGCACAGGAACUAAUUCAAAAACGAAUACAAAUCAGAACCAGGCACCUCCUACCUGUGGGGGAACUGAGUUGGCUUCCUGUUCAUUCAAUGUGAGCAGGAAAACCUUUUCCUUGUGGCCCAGGGAAACUAUCUGUAACUUGUGAUGGUCUUGAACAUCUCAUCGUGAUAGUUGAAUGAGUCAAUUUAGUGGACAGCUGGGGCACCCCAUGUGGAGGGGUGUCCAGGGGUGCUCUGUGUAUUUUCUUUCUUUGAGAAACUAAGAGGGCAGGGACUCUAUGAGGGCUCCACAGGGAAUGCAGGUCCCCAGGUCCCCAUGACACCAUGUGUGGGAUGCAUGUGGCUGGCUGUUCUCCAUCUCCUAAAGGUAAAGGAUUUUCAAGAUAGUCACCUGGCUCUGAGCAGGGGUAAAGAAUGGAGUCAUGAAGCCAUCUGGGAGAGCAACAGCUUUGUGGCUGGUGUCACAAGGCAGAGAGAGCAGCUAAGAUGGGGUCACUACACUGGGAAUCAAGAGAUCUGGUUCCUGUCUCAAGUGUCCCAUGUGGUCACUUAAUCCAUUGUUUGCAGAAAUGGUCACACAAUUCCCCUUCCUGUAUCAAUGCCACUAUAGCAUGACUGUGCAUCUGGCCCGUCUCUGAAUUUUGUCUGGCCUUGUGAUUCACUGUGGCCAAUAGAAUGGAAGGGGAUGGACAGUGGGCCGGUUCUAAACUCAAGUUUUGUGCCCUUCCACUCUGGCUCUCCAAACCCUGCCAAUUUAGCCUCCUGGAGGAUGAGGCAAGUGGCCCAGUCACCUUGGCACUCAGCUGGCACUAGCCUACCCUUGAGAACAGAGCCACUUCACUCACCUACAGUCCACCACACUGCAUAUUCAUUAGCUAAAUCAAUGGUAGUAGUUUUAGACCCCUAAUUUGAGGGUAGUUACUAUACAGCCGUAGCUAACUGAUACAAUGACCUUCGAUAAUAAUAGUGACAGCUAUCAUUUGAAGUGGACCUACUGGAUGCCUGGCCCAGUUCCAAGUUCUUGACAUAGACAACCUCAUUUAAUUCUCCCAGCAGCUCUGAGAGUUGGUAUUCAGAUCCUCACUUCAUAGACAAGUAAAUGGAGGCUUGGAGAAGAUGUGCGCCUCAUCUAUGAAGGCCUAAAGAAUAAGAGGAACCUAAAGAACAAGAUUAGAACCUCAAGUCUGUCUUCAUGGACUCGUCCUGAAUCUCCUUCCCAGACAAGCCUCAAUGUCAGAGAAAGCCAGCAGCACUAGAGAGUGUGUCAUGUAUUCUGCGCACAGGAGCUGAUGUCAUUAAGAAUGUUCUCAGCCUUCCAUUCCCCAAGAAUUAUGCCAUAUCUCACCCUGCUCUUCUCUCACCCUGAGCCAAUGCCUCUAAUUCCAGUGGGCUUUUAGAAAGAAAAAGGCACAGAUAAUGGAAUCAUUUAUUUCUUUUUUAUUACCCUUUCUAUUUAAUCAGCAAGUAUAUGUAUUAAGGACCUGUAAGUAUGCCUGUUGCCAUAGUGUUCUUUCGUUUGUGACAUUUCCUGGAGCCCUACUGUGUGCCAGGCCCUCAGUGUCUGUAAUCCUUACAGCAACACUGGGGUCAUUAAGAUCAUCCCCAUUUUAAAGACAGGAAAACUGAGGUUCUAGAGAAGUGAAGUGGCCAUGCUGAGGCCACCUAACUAGUAAGUGGUUAGGACAGGAUUCCCUUCUAGGUUUGGCUCAAGUCAGGCAAGGCCUCUUCUUACUCUAUUAUUACAACUGUGGGUUUUUAAAAAAGGGAUUUUGAAAUUUCCUCUGGGUUCUGUGUAUAGCAGGUAGGGGGCUGGGAGGCUGAGAGGAGAAAGAAAGGGUAGUGCAGGUGUUAGAAAAUGUUCCUUGACUCCAGGAGCUGACGGCCUCCCUGCCAUGAUGCUCAGGCUGUGGGUAGUGAUGUGAGUGAGAGCAGGCCAGGAGCAGGGCGUGGAGAGGUAACCACGGGCUCCAGCCUGCUCUCCUCGUGUCUGCAGUUGACAAGCCACAGCCAUCCUUUAUCCUCACCGCCAGCCCUGCCCCUCCCUUUAGCCGCUGGACUGCAGCCAUCCACCAGCACCAGGCACUGGGCACCAUGCCCUUCCCCUCCUGGCUGUGCUGUUUACAAGUGUGGGAUUCAGGGACAGUCUGGGCUAUCUUCUCCUCCCAGAAGAUCACACUCCUGGGAUGGAGGCUUAGCUUCAGGCCUCUCAAGACUCUCUGAGUCCAGCCCCUGCCAAGGCUGCCUUCUCCAGGCUGGCAGCAGGCCCCACCCAGGAGCCCUUGCCAAUCAAAAUCGAGCUGCAAGAAGCCUUUGCCUGGCUCAGGGGCUUUAGCAGGUGUGUGCGUGCGAGCAGGAGGGGUACAGAGGUGAGUGGCUAAGAGGCCUGAGGGUCGUCUAGGCAUUGGGGGCCUGGUAUCCCACAGCCACUCAUGGCUGCCUUCCCCUGGGGCAAUGUGGUUGCUGGGAAGAUCCCUGCACUGGCUGAGAAGCUUAGACAAGUCACUCAACCUCUCUGGACCCCCUAUCUCCUCAUCUUUCAAUUGGACGAGAAGUCUCGCAGCCACAUACUGUACAGACACUAAAAACUAACAUUUAGUAAGUGCUUGGCACUUUGCACACAUUAUCUUAGUCAUUCUCCCAAACAACACUAAGACCUAAGAAUCCUUAGCAUCAUCCCCAUUUUAUGGAUGAGAAAACAGGCUCAGUGGGGUUAAAUAACUUGCCCAGAGUCACAGGUGGUGAGUGGGUGGCCAGGGACUCAGCCUCAAGGUUGCUGGCCUCCUUUGUUGAGGGAGGUGACACUUACAAAUGCCUGGACAUCCUGCCAGAUCCAUCAGCUGCUGGUCAGGUGGUGCUCCCACACUUGCCUGCCUGAUGUCGCACGAUGCUGCCCCCCUAGAACUCCCUUGGUGCCCUAAGCUCAUCUGCUGUGCUCUCCCCUCAAAAGUGAGUACUGCUUGCUUCUCUGGCCUCAGCUCCCUCUGUUCUUUGCCUAACCCUGCCCCUCCUUCAGAUCAGCCUUCUGGGAGCUUCCCUGACCACACCCAUAUACAGCACGGUGGCCUUGCUGUUCCUUCCCACGGCUUCCUCCUCCAGAGGCAAUACACACAACCCUGUCUCCUGUCUGCCCACACAGAGGCCACAGGUUCAGAUCCAGACUCUGCCCUCCCAAGAGAUUCUCCUCCUCCCUUCCCAGAUGCCUGUAUGGCCUAGCCCAGGCUGGAGUAGGACAGGAAAGGCAAGAAAAGGAGGUGUCAGGCUGAGGAAGGCAUCAGGUCUGGAGCUGCUGGGCCAAAAGUUGAGCCCCUUGGAAAUUACAGCACCCAGAACAGUGCCUGGCACAGAGGAGAUGCUGCAUGAAAAUCUGUUGAGUGAAUGGAGCAAAGGAAUGAAGCACCAGCUUUGAACUUGAAAACCCUACCAUGCGUGUCUCAAGGCAGGAGUACAGAGCUGGCCACAAGAGGACUCUGAUGGAGAAGCAUUAAGGCUCUGACUGCAAAUGCCCCAUCUGCCUUGCCCAUUGGUGGAGCCUGAGAUGCCUUCACCCAGGUGUUCCAGCAACUCCACAUCUUUGUAGCUGUGAUGUAAUGGAAAAAGCACUGGAGAUCAGCAAAGGAAAUCAGAAAAUGAGGCUGGAAUUUCAGCAACUCUACUCAUUUAUUUCAUUCAUCGCUCUAACUCUAAGUAGCAAUGCUGUCUGUGCUGGGCACUGAGCUAAGCGCCACAACUAAAAAGGCAAUUGAGACCCAGUCCACACUCUGGAGAAGCUCAGAACUACUUGGAGAUUCCCUGCUUUCUACAGGAACUUUGUGCACUAAGCACUGUGUAUGUGUGAUCUAUUGAAUACUUAAGUAAACAAAUGAAUCCUUAAUUAUAAUGCAAUGUUGUAGGAAUCAUAAAUGAGAAAUUAAUGAACUACAAGUAUUCCAUUAUAAAAUAUAAGUAUAUAAAAUUAAAUACUAAAUUAAUUAAAUAUGAUUGAAGAUGAUAUUUUAUGUUGGUUAGAAGUAUAGGCUA